UACGUAGGGAGCGAGCGUUGUCCGAAGUUACUGGGCGUAAAGCGCGCGUAGGCGGGCUGUUAAGUGAGAGGUGAAAGGCUGGGGCUUAACCCCAUGCAGUGCCUCUCAUACUGGCGGUCUUGAGUGCGGCAGGGAGAAGUGGAAUGGCUGGUGUAGCGGUGAAAUGCGUAGAGAUCAUGAGGAAGACCAGUGGCGAAGGCGGGUCUCUGGACAGUUCCUGACACUGAGGCACGAAGGCCAGGGGAGCAAACGGG
RNAcentral lists this ribosomal RNA (254 nucleotides) under uncultured bacterium. Its description in RNAcentral is "partial 16S ribosomal RNA". It matches the Rfam family "Bacterial small subunit ribosomal RNA", at positions 524 to 776 of the family's 1533-position model. The record is from RNAcentral.